RNAcentral lists this ribosomal RNA (253 nucleotides) under uncultured bacterium. RNAcentral's name for it is "partial 16S ribosomal RNA". It matches the Rfam family "Bacterial small subunit ribosomal RNA", at positions 524 to 776 of the family's 1533-position model. The record is from RNAcentral.
UACGAAGGGUGCAAGCGUUACUCGGAAUUACUGGGCGUAAAGCGUGCGUAGGUGGUUUGUUAAGUCUGAUGUGAAAGCCCUGGGCUCAACCUGGGAAUUGCAUUGGAUACUGGCAGGCUAGAGUGCGGUAGAGGGUAGUGGAAUUCCCGGUGUAGCGGUGAAAUGCGCAGAUAUCAGGAAGAACACCCGUGGCGAAGGCGGCUCUCUGGAACGCAACUGACGCUGAGACGCGAAAGCGUGGGGAGCGAACAGG